UGGAAAACGUGCAAAUAGGAUGAUUUUACAUGCAAAAUCGAAAGAAUGUACAAAACACAACGUAUUAGUGCGAAAAACGUAGAAGUGAGAAAUGUAUAAACGGGGUUUUACUAUAUUUUAUAAGUUUUGAUUGCAUUUUUUAUCAUUUCACCAAUUAAUUAAGAUAAUAAUAUUGCCUGACUGGAAGUUGUUAAUCAAUAGAUUGUUUUAGCUUGAAAGUUUUCCUUGUUUGAGUUGUUUGUAUCGUUUAAAAAAUGCACGAUCUGAACCUUGCUGGAUGUCCAUAAUCAUAUUUUUGAAACACGUGCGCAUUUUUUUGCCCACAAAAUGAAAUAUUUAAUAAAACAGAACUACGAUAAGAUAACGCAUUUUAUGCUUAAAAUUUUCUCUAGCUUCAAAAGUAUUACUGAGGAAUAAGUUAAGUGACGUGAAAAACGCAGAUGACAUCAUGGUUAUUGGAACUGAGUUGGAAGGGAACUAGACAGUAAAACUUAGAAACGCAACUCGCAAUAUUCUCCACGACCUUCGAAAGGACUACUUAACUCAUAACAUGGAUGAAAAUAUGGUUAGGAUGUACUAAACAAACUUCAUUCACUAGCCACUCAAAAGAUAAAAUCAGGAAGAUAAGAAGCCAAAGUCUGGAAGGAAAGAGAUGUGGGAAGAACAAUCCGGAUCUCUUACAACUGGAAAUAAGACCAAAGUCUCUGUGUAAUUUAAAUCAUUUAAACCUAUUGUUUGUCAGUUUACAACGAAGUAUCGGUGGGCUGUUAGGUACGGAGUUACGGUACCUAUUAUUCCUUAAUUUAAUAUCCAUAUAUGAACUCUAAGACAAAUGGGGCAACGGUAAAUGCAGCAUAUUGCACAAGACACUUUCGUCUAGUAAUAUAUUAUUCAUCAUCUCGUGAUGAUACAAGAAAGAAAUAGGACAUCAACUAAUACAUCAUGGAUAUUCCAGUGUGCGGUAAACGAAAAUUUUAGUAAGAUGAGCUAAAAUUUUGCUCUCGUAUAGAAUUCUAUGCUUAAAAUAAGUGUUGAAGUACCGGCUGGAUGAUUGCGUGGAAGCGUGUUUUUUUUCAUCUGUAUGACUUUACGCCGCUUUUCACUCGGUGAAUACCAAGCGGCGAGGCAUUUCAAUGCCCAAUAUAGUUUACUCAUACCCUUGGU
This 1164-nucleotide long non-coding RNA is filed under the name Androctonus crassicauda. Lineage: Eukaryota; Metazoa; Arthropoda; Arachnida; Scorpiones; Buthidae. The record is from RNAcentral.